RNAcentral lists this ribosomal RNA (253 nucleotides) under uncultured bacterium. RNAcentral's name for it is "partial 16S ribosomal RNA". It matches the Rfam family "Bacterial small subunit ribosomal RNA", at positions 524 to 776 of the family's 1533-position model. The record is from RNAcentral.
CACGUAGGGCGCAAGCGUUGUCCGGAUUUAUUGGGCGUAAAGAGCGUGUAGGCGGCCUGACAGGUCUGCUGUGAAAACUCGAGGCUCAACCUCGAGAUGUCGGCGGAAACCGUCUGGCUAGAGUCCGGAAGAGGAGAGUGGAAUUCCUGGUGUAGCGGUGAAAUGCGCAGAUAUCAGGAAGAACACCUAUGGCGAAGGCAGCUCUCUGGGACGGUACUGACGCUGAGACGCGAAAGCGUGGGGAGCGAACAGG